This 422-nucleotide ribosomal RNA is filed under the name uncultured bacterium. RNAcentral's name for it is "partial 16S ribosomal RNA". It matches the Rfam family "Bacterial small subunit ribosomal RNA", at positions 360 to 774 of the family's 1533-position model. The record is from RNAcentral.
AAUCUUCCACAAUGGACGAAAGUCUGAUAGAGCAACGCCUCGAGAGGGAAGUAGGUUCUCGGCUCGAACAGCUCUGUUGUAAGGAAAAAACACGUACAGGAGUAACUGUCUGUACCUUGACGGUCCCUUACCAUAUAGCCGCGUCUAACUACGUGCCAGCAGCCGCGGUAAUACGUAGGUGGCAAGCGUUGUCCGGAAUUAUUGGGCGUAAAGCGCGCGCAGGCGGUUCUUUAAGUCUGAUGUGAAAGCCCACGGCUCAACCGUGGAGUGUCAUUGGAAACUGGAGGACUUGAGUACAGAAGAGGAAAGCGGAAUUCCACGUGUAGCGGUGAAAUGCGUAGAGAUGUGGAGGAACACCAGUGGCGAAGGCGGCUUUCUGGUCUGUAACUGACGCUGAGGCGCGAAAGCGUGGGGAGCAAACA